CAUGUGCCCCGACUUGAGUGGAGCUCUUUUUCUGUUAUCGAUUGUGCAAAAGUUCUUUAGAUUGCUUCAUUUUAUUUGCAAUGACAGAAAAAAGCGGGUAAACUACAGGCGGAUAAAGGC
Molecule: unclassified non-coding RNA, 120 nt
Filed under: Epilithonimonas pallida
Lineage: Bacteria; Pseudomonadati; Bacteroidota; Flavobacteriia; Flavobacteriales; Weeksellaceae
Description: Flavo-1 RNA
Source: RNAcentral